This 416-nucleotide ribosomal RNA is filed under the name uncultured bacterium. RNAcentral's name for it is "bacterial SSU rRNA". It matches the Rfam family "Bacterial small subunit ribosomal RNA", at positions 358 to 771 of the family's 1533-position model. The record is from RNAcentral.
GGAAUAUUGGUCAAUGGACGCAAGUCUGAACCAGCCAUGCCGCGUGGAGGGUGAAGGUCCUCUGGAUUGUAAACUUCUUUUAUAUGGGACGAAAAAAGGCUUUUCUAGGUCGUCUGACGGUACCAUAUGAAUAAGCACCGGCUAACUCCGUGCCAGCAGCCGCGGUAAUACGGAGGGUGCAAGCGUUAUCCGGAUUCACUGGGUUUAAAGGGUGCGUAGGUGGGUUGGUAAGUCAGUGGUGAAAUCUCCGAGCUUAACUUGGAAACUGCCAUUGAUACUAUCAGUCUUGAAUAUUGUGGAGGUCAGCGGAAUAUGUCAUGUAGCGGUGAAAUGCUUAGAUAUGACAUAGAACACCAAUUGCGAAGGCAGCUGACUACGCAUAUAUUGACACUGAGGCACGAAAGCGUGGGGAUCAA